Molecule: ribosomal RNA, 466 nt
Filed under: uncultured bacterium
Lineage: Bacteria
Description: partial 16S ribosomal RNA
Rfam family: Bacterial small subunit ribosomal RNA
Source: RNAcentral
GAUGAACGCUGGCGGCGUGCUUAACACAUGCAAGUCGAACGGAAAGGCCCAAGCUUGCUUGGGUACUCGAGUGGCGAACGGGUGAGUAACACGUGGGUGAUCUGCCCUGCACUUCGGGAUAAGCCUGGGAAACUGGGUCUAAUACCGGAUAGGACCACAUUUUGGAUGGUGUGGUGGAGAGUUUUUCGGUGUGGGGUGAGCUCGCGGCCUAUCAGCUUGUUGGUGGGGUAAUGGCCUACCAAGGCGUCGACGGGUAGCCGGCCUGGGAGGGUGUACGGCCACAUUGGGACUGAGAUACGGCCCAGACUCCUACGGGAGGCAGCAGUGGGGAAGAUUGCACGAUGGGCGCAAGCCUGAUGCAGCGACGCCGCGUGGGGGAUGACGGCCUUCGGGUUGUAAACUCCUUUCGCUAGGGACGAAGCGUUAUGUGACGGUACCUGGAGAAGAAGCACCGGCUAACUACGUG